RNAcentral lists this long non-coding RNA (2502 nucleotides) under Monodelphis domestica (gray short-tailed opossum). Its description in RNAcentral is "lncRNA (ENSMODG00000049971.1)". Lineage: Eukaryota; Metazoa; Chordata; Mammalia; Didelphimorphia; Didelphidae. The record is from RNAcentral.
CCGCUGUGCCCCAACUCGGGCGAGCUUGGGGCUCAGCCGCGAUCCCCUCCCACCGCCUUCUCGCCGUCCCCAUCCCCCACGCUGACUUUCCCUUUCUUCGGGCUGCAGCUGCAGCUGGAGAGACUCAGCCAUCACAGUUCCUCGUUUGACUCUUGGAUGGAAACUUUAGAGUUGGUUUUGAACUUGGCCAGUGAAGCCAGAUGCUCCCUCUUGAUAUCCGGUUCCCUACGUGGCCUUGAGGGAUCUGGUUUUAAUGACCUAGUCUGAUCACCACAGCCACAGCAGUAGCAGGCCAAGAGAGGGCUUGUGUGGGUUCAACAGGUGAUUGCUUUGCUGACGCUGCACUCACUGGGAGAAGCUGGCAGGUCCUCCAGCCCAGCAAGGAGAUGUUCCCGGGACAUCUCAUCCAAAGGCACAGGACUCACAACCUGGAGCUUUCAGGAGCAGGUCUGGCAAAGAUCCAGGCCCAAGGCACGGCAUCAGCUUCGGACAGCAUGAGAACACACAAGAUUCAGUUACACCAAUGCAUGAAAAAGACCAGACUGGUUGUUGUAAGUGCCCACCUUCCAUCCUGAGACGGAAACCACCAGAGUGCCCCAUACCAGGUGACAGGAGAAGAGCCGAGAGGCGAGUCCGCUUCCAAGAGCCGGAGGAGAUGGCUGUGCAUGACAUCUCCUAUGUGGACACAGUUGGAGCCCCAGGCAGGUGGUCACCUGGAUGUUCUCUGUUCCUGUGCCUCAGCCUUUGUAUCCUGCUUGGACUAGCCCUGAGCCUCUACUGUGGUCAGGCCAAGCUGGGCUCAAAAGCCCUGGAAGAAUUCCGAGCCUGGCUCCUCCUCUUCCUCCUCCGCGUGAGACACAUGGCUGUGACCUUCUGGAAGUGGUUUGGGAGGCAGUGACAGAGCCCCGGCGCCUGUGCAGAUGUGGAUUUUCCACCUUCCUCAUUUUGAGGAAUCUCUUCAGCUGCAGUUCUGGAAAGCAACUUCUACAGCCCCAUAUCUUCCAAGGCAAUGAAUGGUAUCUGAGUCUGGAAUAUGGAGGGCUCUGAAGCGAAGUCCCUGAAAGCCAAGGGUCUUCUGAGCAGCAUUUUCAAGUUCAAGGAGAAACGACAGUGAGUCUGCUGAGAAAGCUCCAAGCCCCUGUUCUUCUGGGUUCUCCAGGGGCAGCCAUAAGUGGUAUGAGAACUUCUCACAAUCACUACUAAAAUACAUAUGCAUGCACACGCACACAAGCACACACCCAGAUGUUCAGAGCUGGAAGUGAUCUCAAGUUUAACUUGGAGUUACCUGGAGGAAUCCCUUCUACAACAGGGCCAAUAAGUGCUCAUCUAGCCUCCACUUGAACACUUCUAGUGAUGAGGAUCUCACUACUUUCAGAGACAAAUCAUUCCACUUUGAGUCGAUUCUAAUUGGUAGGGACUUUUUCAUUAUAUUGUGCUAAAAUCUGCCUCUCCAGUAACUUUCACCCUUAGCUCCCAGUUCUGCCCUCUGGGCCAAACAGAAUAGGUCUCACACCUCUCUCCCACAAUACCCCUUCAGGUCAUUGAAUGUAGUGACCUGAGUAUGUGCUGAGUUUUCCCUUCUCUAGGCUAAAUAUCCCCACAUCUGUGAACAUAUCCUCAUAUAGGAUGGUCUUCAGUCCUCAUCAUUUGGGUCAUCUUCCUCUCCAGCUUUUCAGUGUCUUGCUAAUGUAUGGUAUCCAGAAAUUAAUACGGUAUUUUAGACAUGUUUACCAUGGCAGAGGUCAGCCAGACUAUGGCCUCCUUCAUCCUGGACACUCAGAUUCCUUUAAUGCAACCUAUAAUUGCAUUCUCAUUCUGAUUGCUAUGUCAUUCUGUUGACUCAUCUUGAGCUUAUGCUCGGUCCAUUAAGAAUCCCAAGUUUCUCUUAUUCAUAGAUAUGUAUACUUAAACUCACACAAAUGCACAUAUCUGUGCAUGUACACGUACACUUGUGUACACACACACACACACACACACACACACACACACACACAUUCCUCUAGGAUUCUUGGAAGCCCAAACACUGCCAGGUUAAACUGCUGUUCCAUUAAUCACACAUUGGACUCAUGUUACUAUAACUUUUAUCAAAGAACAUUGGAUGCUGGGCAAAUCAUUUUCUCAAUCAUUAAAGAAAGUUUCACUUGUUUGUCCAUGAAUAGAUUUCAUUCUGUUUUCCAAAUCCGUCACCUUUCUCCAGUUUAACUCAAUCUCAUGCAUUAAGUGGAUUACUACGUAUGUACAUACAAGGUGAAAGGAAGUCAGGGCAUAACAGCAGACCAAGAGAUGGAUGGCCUUGGAGGCAGGAAGACCUGGUUUCAAGUCGUACCUCUAAAUGCAUACUAGCUAUGUGAUCAUACAAGUAACAUUGCCUUCCAUGCCUUCUGACUUCUCAAGACUAUAAGUUACAGAUGUAAGUGGAAGGACUUUCCACAGUGAAAUUUAAUCUAUGGAAUCACAUCUGGACAAAAUAAAAUGUUUCACACUGUGCUAAGUCCUGGGUGA